CCAGGACCAAGGUCAGCAGCAGGCGCGAAAAUUAUCGAAGCCCGCCUAGGGGCGAUAGUGAGGAGACGUGUAUUCGAAGUACGUGUAAAGAACGUACUAAUAACUGGAGGUCAAGUCUGGUGCCAGCAUCCGCGGUAAUUCCAGCUCCAGGGGUGUCUAUGAUGAUUGCUGCGAUUAAAAAGUCCGUAGUCAAGCUGACUGACUGACCUGCAAUGUGAUUGAUUAAAGAACGAGCAGGGUUAGGAAAGCAGAGAAUUAGGAGCGACCGAGGGCUAGAGUAUUGAAUGGCGAGAGGUGAAAUUUGAUGACCCAUUCAGGAGUGACAAAGGCGAAGGCACUAGUCAAGGGCGAAUCCGAUGAUCAAGGACGUAGGCUAGAGUUUCGAAAACGAUUAGAAACCGGAGUAGUUCUAGCAGUAAACUAUGCCGACGCCGUGAUAUUGUUUUUUGUGGCGGUAUUGCGGAAGAGAAAUCAAGUAGGGCUUUGGGGAGAGUACGCGCGCAAGCGAUAAAUU
Molecule: ribosomal RNA, 514 nt
Filed under: Dictyocoela sp. 38 JEI-2011
Lineage: Eukaryota; Fungi; Microsporidia
Description: partial small subunit ribosomal RNA
Rfam family: Microsporidia small subunit ribosomal RNA
Source: RNAcentral